UGUAUGGAUGUCAAUAUACAGUCUGGCCUGCCCCCUGAGUUACUUAAAGGGCCGCGGUAUUUAAACCGUGCUAAGGUAGCAUAAUAAAUAGUCUUUUAAUUGGGGUCUAGUAUGAAUGGUCGGACAGGAAGUAAGCUGUUUUAAUUGUAAAGUUUGAAUUUUACUUUUAAGUGAAAAGGCUUAAAUUAUGUAGUGGGACGAUAAGACCCUAUAAAGCUUUACAUUUUUCUUGUUGGAGGCAAAGUUUAAGGUUUUUUAUUCUUAUCAAGUAAGAUGUUUCGUUGGGGCGACGAAAAUAUAAAAUAUUAACUGUUUUUUUUUUAAAAAUAGAUUUUUUUAGGUGUGUUGAUCCUUUAUAGAGAUUAUAAGAAUUAAGUUACUUUAGGGAUAACAGCGUAAUUUUUUUUGAGAGUUCAUAUCGACAGAAAUAGUUGCGACCUCGAUGUUGAAUUAAGAUACCUCUAAGGUGUAGCAGUUUUAGUGGUAGGUCUGUUCGACCUUUAAAAUCUUACAUGAUUUGAGUUCAGACCGGCGUA
RNAcentral lists this ribosomal RNA (536 nucleotides) under Caridina cantonensis. Its description in RNAcentral is "partial 16S ribosomal RNA". It matches the Rfam family "Bacterial large subunit ribosomal RNA", at positions 1832 to 2623 of the family's 2925-position model. Lineage: Eukaryota; Metazoa; Arthropoda; Malacostraca; Decapoda; Atyidae. The record is from RNAcentral.